RNAcentral lists this long non-coding RNA (239 nucleotides) under Lathyrus oleraceus (garden pea). Its description in RNAcentral is "Pisum sativum (pea) long non-coding RNA (PSAT_LNC023929)". Lineage: Eukaryota; Viridiplantae; Streptophyta; Magnoliopsida; Fabales; Fabaceae. The record is from RNAcentral.
AAAGUUAAGCGCAUAAACAAUACAAUCAAAGAACAAAAUAAGGAAAACUAAAAGCAUGAGAUAUGCUUACUUUGUUAUUAUAAGAAUUCAUAAGUUUUUCAUAUUCAACUUUGCGCAUAAACAAUAAAACGAUUUUUUCAUCAAGUCAUUCAUCUAACGUUUCUAAAAAACCCACCGUCAAAUAAAAAAACAAACCAAAUCCAUAAUCAUUACAAUGAAAAAACAAAAGAAAACAAAAA